CUGGCGGCGUGCCUAAUACAUGCAAGUCGAACGGUCUUUCUAUGGAAGCUUGCUUCCACUGAAAAGAUAGUGGCGAACGGGUGAGUAACACGUGGGUAACCUGCCCAUAAGAGGGGGAGUAACAUCCGGAAACGGGUGCUAAUACCGCAUAGUUUUCUUGAUCGCAUGAUCGGGAAAGGAAAGACGGCCUUUGUGCUGUCGCUUAUGGAUGGACCCGCGGCGUAUUAGUUAGUUGGUGAGGUAACGGCUCACCAAGACGAUGAUACGUAGCCGACCUGAGAGGGUGAUCGGCCACAUUGGGACUGAGACACGGCCCAAACUCCUACGGGAGGCAGCAGUAGGGAAUCUUCCGCAAUGGACGAAAGUCUGACGGAGCAACGCCGCGUGAGUGAAGAAAAGGUUUUCGGAUCGUAAAACUCUGUUGUCAGAGAAGAACAAGUUGGAGAGUAACUGCUCCAGCCUUGACGGUAUCUGACCAGAAAGCCACGGCUAACUACGUGCCAGCCGCAGC
RNAcentral lists this ribosomal RNA (511 nucleotides) under uncultured bacterium. RNAcentral's name for it is "bacterial SSU rRNA". It matches the Rfam family "Bacterial small subunit ribosomal RNA", at positions 36 to 518 of the family's 1533-position model. The record is from RNAcentral.